This 1170-nucleotide long non-coding RNA is filed under the name Felis catus (domestic cat). RNAcentral's name for it is "lncRNA (ENSFCAG00000046836.1)". The record is from RNAcentral. Lineage: Eukaryota; Metazoa; Chordata; Mammalia; Carnivora; Felidae.
GUGGCUUUGGAGGGGGUUGGGAAACGCGCCGGUUUCCUGGUCUCGAGUUAUGCAGGAGUUUCCCAGCCCCAACUAGGAUCUCCGCCGAAAAAAAACUUUUCACUCGUGACACCGCCCGGAAUUACCGUGCGAAACUCACUUCCUGCCUUGGCGCAGAAGCAGAAUCCAGCUCGGUCCAGGGGAACCCGGAAAACCAGCUCCGCGCGCGCCGAGGAGGGGGAGGGCACGGGGCCUCAGCCGAGAGCCUCGGGCUCCGGGCGCCCGGCGCGCCCCGCACACCCGACGGCGGCGGAACCCGGCCGGCAGGGGCCAAGAUGCCGCCGGGGCGCUGGGCGAGCCUCGGCCGCGCUAGGCCGCCAGCUCCUCCUCGCCGCCGCCCCCAGAGCCGGGCGGCGGGGUUAUUGUCUCGAUAGAGCCAGCCGCGCCCUUCGCCCGCGCCGCCGCCGUCGCCGCCGCGGCCGCCCGGGGCCGGAGCCGAGGGGCCGGGCAAGCUCGAAGGCGGCCCCCUCCCCGGGCAGUCUGUCGGGCCGUCCGUUCUUCCGUCCGUCCCUCCCCGCCUUUCCUGCUUGCCCUCGAACCCUCUUCUCCUCCCUCUCCCGUUUUCCCGCCGCCGUCCCUUCGCUCCCCUCCUCGUUCUUCUUCCCCGGCGACGGUGGCUCCCCGGGGAAGCGCAGGAGGUGGGGGCAGGCGGCGGCUGGGUCUCCUCACGAGCUUGCGGGGCCGCGGCAGGGGCCGAGGCUGCGUCCCGCGCCGCCGCGCCACAUUCACUCGAGCGAGAGACUGCGAGGGGAGGGGAGGGGUGGGAGGGGAGGGAGAGAGAGGAGAGAAAGGAGGAGGAAGGGAGCUGGGGCGGAGGGGAGUUACUGCCUCACAGGCCGCGGCGGCAACAGCGCCACCGCCCCAGCGGUGAGGGGGAAGAGACUGCGCGCGACUGCUUCUUGGCGGGGGCGGGGCGGCCUCCCGCCGGCUUCGCCUCAACCGCCAACUGCCGGGCUGGAGGCCGGCGCGAGCCAGUCACCGCGCGCGGGGGCGGCGCGGGCAGACGUCGGCGGCGGCUGCGGCGGGGGACGGCGGGGGGCGGUGGGCCCGGGGCCUUGCGGGGAGGGGGCCGGCGGCGGCGGCAGCGGCGAGGGGGGUUCGCGUACGAGGCGCGGCGUCAGGCCCUCUUAG